CCACUCUUCAGUAAUGAACCUGGACCCUCAGACACAAAACAGAGAGCAGGGUCUACGGUCUCCAUGUGGUCUCUGAUGAGUGACUGGUCUAUAGGGGAACCUCCAUACUUCAGUAAUGAACCUGGACCCUCAGACACAAAAGGGAAGAGGAAGAGUGGUGUUCCUGUGGAGGAGCAGCUGUCCAGCUGUGCUCUGUGUC
This is a long non-coding RNA of Trematomus bernacchii (emerald rockcod), 199 nucleotides long. RefSeq lists it as uncharacterized. NCBI's taxonomy places the organism in Eukaryota, Metazoa, Chordata, Actinopteri, Perciformes, Nototheniidae. The transcript has 3 exons. The record is from RefSeq and is a predicted model, not a curated record.